UCCUGGUCAAACUUAGGCAUUCUAAGGAUAGAGACACCUGACAGAAUCCAGGCAUUCUAAUGGGAGAGGCUUCUGGCCACCCUCAGGCAUUCUAAUUAUAGAGACACCUGGGCGACUUCCAGCAUUCUAAAGAUAGAGACACCUGGCCAAAUUCAAGCAUUCUAACGGGAGUGACUCCUGGCUGACCCCAGGCAUUCUAAGGGUAGAGAUAUCUGGCCAAACUGAAACAUUAUUUUUUUGAGACUUAGUCUCACUCUGUUGCCCAGGCUGGAGUGCAGUGGCAUGAUCUUGGCUCACUGCAACCUCUGCCUCCUGGGUUCAAGCGAUUCUCCUGCCUCAGCCUCCUGAGUAGCUAGGAUUACAGGCACACACCAUCACACCUGGCUAAUUUUUGUAUUUUUAGUAGAGAUGUGGUUUCACCAUGUUGGUCAGGCUGGUCCGGAAAUCCUGACCUUGUGAUCCACCCACCUCAGCCUCCCAGUGCUGGGAUUAUAGGCAUGAGCCACCACACCCAUCUCCUGGGCUCAGGCAUUCUAACCGAAGAGUCUCCUGGCCAACCCAGGCAUUCUAAUAAUAGAGAAACCUGGGUGACCUCAGGAAGUCUAUGGACAGAGGUUCUUAGCUGACCCCAAGAAUUCUACUAAGAGACAUCUAGGUGGCAUCAGGCAUUUUAUGGAUAGACACUCCAUGCCAACCCGAGGCAUUUUAAUGAUAAAGACACUUGAUAGAACUCAGGAUUUAUGCGGAUAGAGACUUUUGGCCGACCACCAGCAUUUUAAUGAUAGAAACCUAGGCGACCUCCGGCAUUCUAAGGAUAGAGAUCCCUGGCCGACUUCAGGCAUUCUAAUGAUAGAGACAUCCAGCCAAUAUCAUGCAUUCUAAAAAUAAAAUGCAUGGAGUCCUGGUCGACUCCAGGCAUUCUAAUGGUAGACACCUAGGUGACUGCAGGCAUUCUAAUGAUAGAGACUCCUGACUGACCACAUGCAUUCUAAUGUGAUAGAUUCUUGGCCGACCAUAGACAUUCUAAUGCUAGAGAAACCAGGGUGACCACAGACAUUUUAAAGAUAGAGACUCCUGGCCAACUCCAGGCAUUCUAAUGGGAGAGACUUCUGGUUGACUUCAGGCAUUCUAAUUAUAGAGACACUUGGAUGACUUCCAGCAUUCUAAGGAUAGAGGCACCUGGCCGAAUUCAGGCAUUUUAAUGGGAGAGACUCCUAGCUGACCCCAGGCAUUCUAAGGUUAGAGAUAUCUGACUGAUAUCAGGCAUUCUAAUGGGAGCAUCUCCUGGCCAACCCCAGGCAUUCUAAUGAUAGAGACACCUGUGCCACCUAAGUUAUUCUAAAAAUAGAGACACCUCUUCAACCACAGGCAUUUUAACAGGAGAGACUCCUGGCCACACAAGCAUUCUAAUGAUAGAGACUCCUGACCUACCUUAUUCAUUCUAAUGAUAGAGAAACCGUGUGACCUCAGGUAUUCUAAGGAUAGAUAGACCUGGCUGACCCCAGGCAUACUGACAAGAGAGUAUCCUGGCCAACACCAGGCAUUCUAAUGAUACAGACUUCUGGCUCAUCGUGGGCAAUCCAGUGAUACUGUUACCUGGGCAACCUCGCCAUUUUAAGAAUAGAGACACCUGGCCAACCCCAGGUAUUCUAAAGAAAGAGACUCCUGGCCAACCCAAGACAUUUGAAUGAUAGAGACUACUGGCCUAGCCCAGGCAUUUUAAUGAUAGAUACAUCUGUGCGACCUAUGGCAUUUUUAAAAGAAAGACAUCUGGCCAACCACAGGCAUUCUAACAGCAGAGAAUCCUGGCUGACCCCAGGCAUUCUAAUGACAAAGACUCCUGGUCAAACCCAGUUUUUCUAAUGAUACAGAUGCUUGAGCAACCUCGUCGUUCUAAGGAUAGAAACACCUGGCCAAGCCCAGGCAUUCUGAUGGGAGGAGACACAUUUGGCCAACCCCAGGCAUUCUCAUGAUAGAGACUCCUGUCUGACCCCAGAUGUUCUAAUUAUAGAAACACCUGAGCAAACUCAGGCAUUCUAAGGAUAGAGAUACUGGGCUGACCCCAGGCAUUCUACCAAUAGAGAUUCCUGGAUGACCCCAGGCAUUCUAAUGGGAGAGACUUCUGGCCAACUCUAGGCAUUCUAAUGAUAGAGACUCCUGGCUGACCCCAGGCCUUCUAAUGAUAGAGACACUUGGGCGACCUCGCCAUUCUAAGAAUAGAAGCACCUGGCCAACCUAGGGCAUUCUAAUGAGAGAGACUCCUGGCCUAACUCAGGCUUUCUAAUGAUAAGGACUCCUGGCCUAUCCAAGGCAUUCUAAUGAUAGACAGGUUGGCGAACUCAGGCAUUCUAAGAAUAAUAACACCUGCACGACCCCAGGCAUUUUAUUGGAAGAGACUCUUGGCUGAACCCAGGCAUUCGAAUGACACAGACUUCUGGCCUACCCCAGGCACUCUGGGCCUCUGGGCACUCAGGCACUCUGGCACUCAGGCACUCAGGCACUCUGGGCCAGAUAGACACAUCUGGGCAACCUCGGGCAUUUUAAUGAUAGAGACUUCUGGCCAACCCCAUGCAUUCCAAUGAUACAGACCCCUGGGCAACCUCACCACUUGGAUAAAAACACAUGGCUGACUUAAGGCAUUCUAACAAGAGAGACACCGUGCCAACCCCAGACAUUCUAACGAUAGAGAUUCCUGGGGGAACCCAGGCAUUCUAAUGAUAGAGACACCUGUGUGACAUCAGCCAUUUUAAAAAUAGAGGCACCUGGCCGACCCAAGGCAUUCUAAUGACAGAGACUCCUGGCCAACCCAGGCAUUCCAAUAAUAGAGACACCUAAGCAACCUCACUAUUCUAAGGACAGAGACACCUGGCUGACUCCAGGCUUUCUAAUGGGAGAAACUCCUGAUUGACCCAAGGCAUUCUAAAGGUAGAGACUCCUGGCUGACCCAAAGAAUUCUAAUGAUAGAGACACCUGGGGGACCUCACUAUUCUAAGGAUAGAGACACCUGGCCAACCCCAGGCAUUCUAAUGGGAGAGAUUCCCGGUCCACCCUAGGAUUCCAAACGAUAAAGGCUCCUUGCCUAUCCAAAUCAUUUUAGUGAUAGACCUGGGCGACCUCAGGGGUUAUAAAGUCACCUAGAAGACCCCAAGCAAUGCUACUGGAAAGACUCUAAGAGGACCCUAGGCAUUCUAAUAAGAGAAACACAUGCUGUCCCUUGGCAUUCUAAAGAUAAAGACACCCGUGCGUCCUCAGACAUUCUAAGGAUAAAGUCAUCUGGCUGGCCCAGUUAUUCAACAAGAAAGACUUUUGUUUGACUCUAGGCAUUCUAACUAUAGAGAUUAUUGUCCUUCCCCAGGCACUGAAAUAAUAGAGACAGUUGUUCACUCUCAGACAUUCUAUCAAAAGAGACAGCUGGCAGACCACAAGCAUUCUAACAGGAGAGAGUCCUGGCCGACCCCAGCCAUUCUAAUAGUAGAGACUCCUGGCCUACCACAAGCAUUCUACUGAUAGAGACACCUGGGGGACCUUAGGCAUUCUAAGGAUAGAGAAACCUGUCUGACCCCAGGCAUUCAAGCGGGAGAGACUUCUGACCAACCCCAGGCAG
This 3604-nucleotide long non-coding RNA is filed under the name Homo sapiens (human). RNAcentral describes it as "HSALNT0283050". Lineage: Eukaryota; Metazoa; Chordata; Mammalia; Primates; Hominidae. The record is from RNAcentral.